GAAGACAUAGCUCUAGUGGUAGAGCGCAUGCUUAGAACGCACCAGGCCCUGGGUUCAAUCCCCAGUACCUCCC
This 73-nucleotide transfer RNA is filed under the name Camelus bactrianus (Bactrian camel). It matches the Rfam family "tRNA". Rfam says of the family: Transfer RNA (tRNA) molecules are approximately 80 nucleotides in length. Their secondary structure includes four short double-helical elements and three loops (D, anti-codon, and T loops). Further hydrogen bonds mediate the characteristic L-shaped molecular structure. tRNAs have two regions of fundamental functional importance: the anti-codon, which is responsible for specific mRNA codon recognition, and the 3' end, to which the tRNAs corresponding amino acid is attached (by aminoacyl-tRNA synthetases). tRNAs cope with the degeneracy of the genetic code in two manners: having more than one tRNA (with a specific anti-codon) for a particular amino acid; and 'wobble' base-pairing, i.e. permitting non-standard base-pairing at the 3rd anti-codon position. The record is from Rfam by way of RNAcentral. Lineage: Eukaryota; Metazoa; Chordata; Mammalia; Artiodactyla; Camelidae. RNAcentral also lists the same sequence under 1 other name.